This 736-nucleotide ribosomal RNA is filed under the name Elsinoe bidentis. RNAcentral's name for it is "eukaryotic LSU rRNA". It matches the Rfam family "Eukaryotic large subunit ribosomal RNA", at positions 133 to 891 of the family's 3401-position model. The record is from RNAcentral. Lineage: Eukaryota; Fungi; Ascomycota; Dothideomycetes; Myriangiales; Elsinoaceae.
GGCGUCCGAGUUGUAAUUUGUAGAGGAUGCUAUUGGGUUGCCACCGGUCUAAGUUCCUUGGAACAGGACGUCACAGAGGGUGAGAAUCCCGUAUGUGACCGGCCAGGCGCCUUCUGUAUAGCUCCUUCGACGAGUCGGGUUGUUUGGGAAUGCAGCCCUAAAUGGGAGGUAAAUUUCUUCUAAAGCUAAAUACCGGCCAGAGACCGAUAGCGCACAAGUAGAGUGAUCGAAAGAUGAAAAGCACUUUGGAAAGAGAGUUAAAAAGCACGUGAAAUUGUUGAAAGGGAAGCGCUUGCAAUCAGUCUCGACGGCGGCUGUUCGGCCUCUCUUCUGAGUGGUUUAUUCAGUCGCCGCCGGGCCAGCAUCAGUUUUGGCGGUCGGAUAAAGGCGUGGGGAAUGUAGCUCCUCCGGGAGUGUUAUAGCCCCGCGUGCAAUACGGCCCGCCGGGACUGAGGUCCGCGCUUCGGCUAGGAUGCUGGCGAAAUGGUUGUAAGCGGCCCGUCUUGAAACACGGACCAAGGAGUCUAACAUCUACGCGAGUGUUUGGGUGUCAAACCCGUGCGCGCAAUGAAAGUGAACGGAGGUGGGAACCGCANGGUGCACCAUCGACCGAUCCUGAUGUCUUCGGAUGGAUUUGAGUAAGAGCGUAGCUGUUGGGANCCGAAAGAUGGUGAACUAUGCCUGAAUAGGGUGAAGCCAGAGGAAACUCUGGUGGAGGCUCGCAGCGGUUCUGACG